RNAcentral lists this long non-coding RNA (1323 nucleotides) under Gallus gallus (chicken). RNAcentral describes it as "long non-coding RNA NONGGAT009158". The record is from RNAcentral. Lineage: Eukaryota; Metazoa; Chordata; Aves; Galliformes; Phasianidae.
CUCAAGGUCACUAGCUUGGCCCUACUAUCCUUGGCCUGCCAAAAGGGAGCGCAUGUCCCUCUGAGAAGGGCAGGCCCUUGAGCUUUGGUCUAGGCCUCAGAGAGAGUUCCCAGGCUAAACUAUAUGUUUGAUUGCACUGACAUACCUCUAUUUUUGUUUUGUUAAGCAUCUUCUGACUGAGAGAGAUGAAAUCUAAAAGAUGCUUUCUUAAAUCGUUUAUUUCUGUAUUCUCCUCAGAGAUGUGCAGGCUUAAGAGCAGGCACUGGGAGCUGCCAGGCCCAGAGAGUGUUGAUGCACAAAAUCCAAGUGCUCAGUCUAAAGCCAGCACUUCUUUUGGGGGAUGUGAGGGAUAAGAGGAAAGCCAGCUUUAAAAUUGUCCCAGGAAGGAAAGCAUUACUGUGUAAAGCACCGAAGAAUGAGCUGGGAUUGUAAAGCCCCUCCUCCAACUGGUGCAAGCUUCCUGGGGCCGGCAUUAUUGCUCCUGAAAUGUGCUGUUAGUGCAAGGUGUGAGAGGACCCAGUGGUUGUGACAGUUGACCCUGAGAAGGGGCUGCAUGCAGUUUGGCACAGCCCAUCCUGCGGGCACUCCCUGCCCUGCACCAUCAUGGCAAUGACACUUCCUCACCAGCUCAGCCCUAGGUGUGUGCCCAUCAUUCAGCAUCAAUCAAACAUCAGCCCAAGACAGUUCCUCUUCACUCAACACAGCCCAGGCAAGUCAAAAGGUUGGUAAGCCACAUCAACAGUUGUUUUCACUAUUCACCAUCUCAUGUUUGUACAGCACCUUCUCUGAGGAAUCUUGGACAAGGUUAAGGCCUCCAGAUGUUACUGCAGUAUGUGGGGUGCCAGGUAAGCCCACAACAACAUCAGCAGAAGUUCUAGAUGGUGCUGUGGUGCAUCCAAAUCUGUGGCCCAUGUGGUCAAAUGGUAUUUGAGGCCAGUGUACAUACAGAUAUAUGCUUUGGGCCUUAAAGUAUGCAUAAGAUUAUUUUUCUUUAUAAGCCUGAUGGUUAAGUGUUGAUUUAUAUAUGAAGCAAGAAUUUAUCUUUCAAAACUCACUGUAUAAUUUGCAAAUAUCUGUGUGACUCUAGAUGUCUGUUAAACGUGUUAAUGCCUUAUCUGCCCUAAGCUCAGGGAAGAUCUUUGUUAUCAUUGUCUCUGCCAGUUAAUUGUUGAUUCGCUGAAAAACAGUUCUACUAAUUUUAAAUUUGCCAUGUUUCAGGUAGUGGCUUCUGCGAAUGUUACAGCAGAAAAGUUUGAGGGAUCUAGAUUUUAAUCAAUUUUUUAGCAAUUACAUGCAAGUGCCUUCUAAAAUUCUGUAAUAGAA